UCAAACGUCAAGCUUGGCUUGCUAUUGGACUCGCUGUCCGGCUAAAGGACACGUCCCAAAGACAAUGACCGUGUCGAGUGUGACCCUAGAUGCAAUGAGCUUUGUUAAGCACGCAUGUAAGGGCCCACCCGGCCCGGUCUCAACCAUUUUUCUCAGG
Molecule: unclassified non-coding RNA, 157 nt
Filed under: uncultured Chaetothyriales
Lineage: Eukaryota; Fungi; Ascomycota; Eurotiomycetes; Chaetothyriales
Description: sequence contains ITS2
Source: RNAcentral